Molecule: long non-coding RNA, 3094 nt
Filed under: Canis lupus familiaris (dog)
Lineage: Eukaryota; Metazoa; Chordata; Mammalia; Carnivora; Canidae
Description: lncRNA (ENSCAFG00845021699.1)
Source: RNAcentral
CUUCGGGUGGAUUAACAGAGUUAAAAAAAAAAUAGUGCUUUUUGUGGAGAAAAAAAGUUUUUAAUGACUAUAAGUCUAUAUAACAUCAACCUGCAAAAUGUCCAUGGUUGGAACUUUAUUUUAACCAACAGAUGCCACACUGUUUCUAUUUUAAGGUUGGGUAGACUCCUGCCCCUUGCCAAUCAGCCUUGUCUUCUUGUCUUUUUGCAACAUCUGUCAGUUACUCAUCCAUGGAUGGUGAGCGGAAUUGGAUCAGUGAACUUCCACUGUCCCCGGCAGACAUUACUUCAUCCAGGAACACUGGGUCCUAUCAGAUGGACACAGAAGGAUGAUGCAUCGUUGGCCUAAAGAAAAGGGAAUCUGGUUCAACUCCUUAGAACUGCCAACUUUGGCUCAGAGCCAGAGCCUCAGGACAACUUGGUACAGGUACUUAUUCAUUACGUUCUUUUUUUUUUUUUUUUUUGGCCUUCGAAGAGAUAUCAUCAAAGUCUGGGGAGGCAGCCACAUAAUUUCUUUCUUUCUCAUUACUGCUAUGGCAUCUCAGAUUUCUUUGCUAUUCUAGACCAACAGCACUGAUGAUGUGUCCAUAGCUCCCAUCUAGAAGUUUUUCUACAUAGCAGGCUGAAAGAAAAGAUAAAGGUGGUUCUGCUAUCGGAGAGUAUGGUAGGGAAAAGGAGCUAAUAUGGCUUCCCCAGGACUUGGACUUCUCUAGGACUUUCAUGGAGUUCUUUGGGAUGGUGACCAACAAGGCUGGCAGCCUCGUGGGAGUAUAUCACGAGAGUCUAGAAGUAGCCAGUAUGAAAGCUUCUGUCUCUUCUAAGGUCACUGGAGCAGAUUAAGAUCUCUAAUUCAGCAUGACUUGACUCUGUUGCUCAAGAUGCAAGUCUCAUUCACUUCCUGCUUCUUUCUUCUAAUCAGCCAGCACAAUUAGGAUGGGGUUUCUGACCUCAAAUAUGUCACAGUUCCACUGCACAGGUCAGUUUUCUUAAAGACUCUUCCCCUGUUUCCCAGUACACAACUUGACAGUCCUUUCUGUCCCUACAUUUUGGUCUUGGCGCUUGUGGCUGCCAUUCCCACCAUCCUGAUGAGAUGAAAGGCGGGUGCCUCUGUGUGUGUGUGUGCACACGCACGUGAACAUACACCCAUGAGGAGUCGGCCUUUCUUUUUUGUAUGGUCCACUCAUGCACCAAAGUAGCAAACUAUGCUGUAGUUGUGCAAGAAUAGCUCCAUUUGUCAUUGGGGAACUCUAGGGUAAAGCCACAAAAUGUGCUCCUCCACCUGUUGGCCCUCAAAGGGAAGGAUGCAAAUUCUUGUGUAUUUUUGGUUUCCCUUCAUGAUAGGAGAGGUAAAGAGCCGGACAGGAAUGCAUUUUGCUGCUAUGUUGUCCUCUUUUUUUUUUUUUUUUUUUUUUUUUUUCAGAAUUGCCAAAUUCUCAAUAAAAAAUUAAAUUCUGAGCCACAGGAAAGAGCUAGCUUUAGAACUCAGGUUUCAAAACUGAAGACCCAGUACUCAAGACCCUGUAAAUCAAACUAUAGUCUUUUAUGGUUGAUGCACAUGCUUGGAGGGAGAAGGAAUAAGAAUUAAAGCAUAGUGAAGAGAGAUUAGCGUGAAUGCAGAGUCAUAGCUUCCUCUCUGCAGUGAAGCCAUGUGUUUCCUGAAUUAAUAGAGAUAUUAUUUAGUUAACAUGUGAAGAAGACAAAGACUACUUUGUGAUGUCUUUUUCUUACAAUUUUCUGUGUUUUUAGAAUCUGAAUUGAUUUCUCGCUAUAGAAUUAAUUCAGUAAAAUUUUGUAACAGACUUCAAGGAGGGGCAGUUACGACACAGAAAGUUGCACGUUAACUAAGUAGUCUUCUGAAAUAGUACAGCAGCGUCAAUGAAAGAGACUCUCUCACGUUGGUUUCACUACUUAAAGGUAAUCUCACAGCACAUUAAUCAAUAUCUUGCUGCCCGCUUUACCAUAUAAUCCAGGGAUAUUAAAGAUAUAGUUUACCAUAUAGGCCUGAUUAAUUGAAGAAAAAUAUAGCUUCUUAUUGCUGACAUUAUGAGGUUAGAAAUAGCAUCCUAUGCUAAUCUGCAAUGCCAAGAAAUGAAGAUGGUUUAAAUCAGAUCUCAUGACUAAUGCAUGAGAUCCAAAGUUCUUUUAUUCCUGGCUAUUUUAGAAAACUGGGGUGUAUUUUUACCCUAAAAACUAAUUCUAUAAGAUUUACUGAGAUAAUACAAAAUGCCUUAUUAUUAAUAGCCCACAAUCAAGAUUUUGUACUACCCUUGAUCACAGAAAUGCUGUUUCUCCAUUUAAAAUUUUUUUUUAAUUAUGUGUAUACGAUUAGGUAAGUCCAGGUUCAAGGAUAUUAUAUUUGAUCCUUAGUUUUGUUUUGUUUUUAAUAUUCAGUAACUGGAAAGAUAAAGGAAAGUUGAGAUUGCUUUCUAUGGUAGUUAUUCAAUUUUAAUUGUACUUACUGUGCUUUCAUUUACGCAGAAAGAAAUAUAUCUAGCAAUAAGGUAAGCCUGUUAUUUUUGCUUGUUUUUGUUUUGGUCAUGACAAACUGUGAAAUGCUGUGUUUUUCCUAUAGUUCUAGUCCAUGAAAUCUGCAAUCUUUCCACUUGAUUUACGAAGGACCCUUAAUUACUGCUGUCAUUAGCACCUAGCGUUCAAAACAGUCUGUUAAAAUGUACUGUAAGUCUCACCUCCAAGUCCCUGCUUGCUUUAUCUUAAUUUUUUUUUCCUUUCCAGGGCUAAGUAAAACAAUAAUUGCCUCAAUGACAACAAUCAUGAACAGCGAACCGCAUCACAAACCCCCAAGUUGUCUGGGGUUGCCUGUUUCUUUUUGUUCAGAAUCAGGCACUGGUGUGUUCAGACCGGCUCGGGGAGGAGGGGUGGUGUGUGUGUGUGUGUGUGUGUGUGUGUGUGUGUUGGGGUGGGGGGGAGUUUGAACAAGUGUCCAUACGCAGGAGCCCUCCGGCUGGCUGGCGAAGGACUCUAACUACCUUGGACUCCAGUCGCUCUGUGUCUGCCCUUGUGUUGCCACUCGGGGUAGGGACGACACGCAGCUGCUGCGAGGCCCCGCUGCUGCCGCCGCUGCUGCCGCCUGGCCG